UAGGGAAUCUUCCACAAUGGGCGAAAGCCUGAUGGAGCAACGCCGCGUGGGUGAAGAAGGUCUUCGGAUCGUAAAACCUGUUGUUAGAGAAGAAAGUGCGUGAGAGUAACUGUUCACGUUUCGACGGUAUCUAACCAGAAAGCCACGGCUAACUACGUGCC
RNAcentral lists this ribosomal RNA (161 nucleotides) under uncultured bacterium. Its description in RNAcentral is "partial 16S ribosomal RNA". It matches the Rfam family "Bacterial small subunit ribosomal RNA", at positions 355 to 509 of the family's 1533-position model. The record is from RNAcentral.